GGUUGAUCCUGCCGGAGGCUAUUGCUAUCAGGGUUUGACUAAGCCAUGCGAGUCGAGAGGUGAAAGACCUCGGCAUACUGCUCAGUAACACGUGGAUAAUCUGCCCUCAGAUGAGGAAUAAUCCCGGGAAACUGGGGCUAAUGCCUCAUAGGAGACGGGUGCUGGAAUGCUCUGUCUCUGAAAGGUCCGCCGUCUGAGGAUGAGUCUGCGUCCGAUUAGGUUGUUGUUGGGGUAACGGCCCACCAAGCCAUUGAUCGGUACGGGUUGUGGGAGCAAGAGCCCGGAGAUGGAUUCUGAGACAUGAAUCCAGGCCCUACGGGGCGCAGCAGGCGCGAAAACUUUACAAUGCGAGCAAUCGUGAUAAGGAAACCCUGAGUGCCUGUCAAUGCAGGCUGUUCUGGUGUUUAGUCCGCACCAGGAGAAAGGGCGGGGCAAGACCGGUGCCAGCCGCCGCGGUAAUACCGGCUGCUCGAGUGAUAGCCACUUUUACUGGGCUUAAAGCGUUCGUAGCUUGGUCGUUAAGUCUCUGGGGAAAUCUUCUGGCUUAACCAGAAGGCGUCUCAGAGAAACUGGCGACCUUGGGACCGGGAGAGGUAAGACGU
This 602-nucleotide ribosomal RNA is filed under the name Methanocalculus alkaliphilus. RNAcentral describes it as "bacterial SSU rRNA". It matches the Rfam family "Archaeal small subunit ribosomal RNA", at positions 6 to 616 of the family's 1478-position model. Lineage: Archaea; Methanobacteriati; Methanobacteriota; Methanomicrobia; Methanomicrobiales; Methanocalculaceae. The record is from RNAcentral.